RNAcentral lists this ribosomal RNA (433 nucleotides) under uncultured bacterium. Its description in RNAcentral is "partial 16S ribosomal RNA". It matches the Rfam family "Bacterial small subunit ribosomal RNA", at positions 29 to 507 of the family's 1533-position model. The record is from RNAcentral.
AACGAACGCUGGCGGCAUGCCUAACACAUGCAAGUCGAACGAGACCUUCGGGUCUAGUGGCGCACGGGUGCGUAACGCGUGGGAACCUGCACUUAGGUUCGGAAUAACUCCCCGAAAGGGGUGCUAAUACCGGAUAAUGUCUACGGACCAAAGAUUUAUCGCCUUUGGAUGGGCCCGCGUUGGAUUAGCUAGUUGGUAGGGUAAAAGCCUACCAAGGCGACGAUCCAUAGCUGGUCUGAGAGGAUGAUCAGCCACACUGGGACUGAGACACGGCCCAGACUCCUACGGGAGGCAGCAGUGGGGAAUAUUGGACAAUGGGCGAAAGCCUGAUCCAGCAAUGCCGCGUGAGUGAUGAAGGCCUUAGGGUUGUAAAGCUCUUUUACCCGGGAUGAUAAUGACAGUACCGGGAGAAUAAGCUCCGGCUAACUCCGUG